This 1255-nucleotide ribosomal RNA is filed under the name Helicobacter sp. 'liver 4'. RNAcentral describes it as "bacterial SSU rRNA". It matches the Rfam family "Bacterial small subunit ribosomal RNA", at positions 65 to 1344 of the family's 1533-position model. The record is from RNAcentral. Lineage: Bacteria; Pseudomonadati; Campylobacterota; Epsilonproteobacteria; Campylobacterales; Helicobacteraceae.
AACGAUGAAGCUUCUAGCUUGCUAGAAUGCUGAUUAGUGGCGCACGGGUGAGUAACGCAUAGGUCAUGUGCCUCUUAGUUUGGGAUAGCCAUUGGAAACGAUGAUUAAUACCAGAUACUCCCUACGGGGGAAAUAUUUAUCGCUAAGAGAUCAGCCUAUGUCCUAUCAGCUUGUUGGUAAGGUAAUGGCUUACCAAGGCUAUGACGGGUAUCCGGCCUGAGAGGGUGAACGGACACACUGGAACUGAGACACGGUCCAGACUCCUACGGGAGGCAGCAGUAGGGAAUAUUGCUCAAUGGGGGAAACCCUGAAGCAGCACGCCGCGUGGAGGAUGAAGGUUUUAGGAUUGUAAACUCCUUUUGUUAGAGAAGAUAAUGACGGUAUCUAACGAAUAAGCACCGGCUAACUCCGUGCCAGCAGCCGCGGUAAUACGGAGGGUGCAAGCGUUACUCGGAAUCACUGGGCGUAAAGAGCGCGUAGGCGGGAUAGUCAGUCAGGUGUGAAAUCCUAUGGCUUAACCAUAGAACUGCAUUUGAAACUACUAUUCUAGAGUGUGGGAGAGGUAGGUGGAAUUCUUGGUGUAGGGGUAAAAUCCGUAGAGAUCAAGAGGAAUACUCAUUGCGAAGGCGACCUGCUGGAACAUUACUGACGCUGAUUGCGCGAAAGCGUGGGGAGCAAACAGGAUUAGAUACCCUGGUAGUCCACGUCCUAAACGAUGGAUGCUAGUUGUUGGAGGGCUUAGUCUCUCCAGUAAUGCAGCUAACGCAUUAAGCAUCCCGCCUGGGGAGUACGGUCGCAAGAUUAAAACUCAAAGGAAUAGACGGGGACCCGCACAAGCGGUGGAGCAUGUGGUUUAAUUCGAAGAUACACGAAGAACCUUACCUAGGCUUGACAUUGAGAGAAUCCGCUAGAAAUAGUGGAGUGUCUAGCUUGCUAGACCUUGAAAACAGGUGCUGCACGGCUGUCGUCAGCUCGUGUCGUGAGAUGUUGGGUUAAGUCCCGCAACGAGCGCAACCCCCUUUCUUAGUUGCUAACAGGUUAUGCUGAGAACUCUAAGGAUACUGCCUCCGUAAGGAGGAGGAAGGUGGGGACGACGUCAAGUCAUCAUGGCCCUUACGCCUAGGGCUACACACGUGCUACAAUGGGGUGCACAAAGAGAAGCAAUACUGCGAAGUGGAGCCAAUCUUCAAAACACCUCUCAGUUCGGAUUGUAGGCUGCAACUCGCCUGCAUGAAGCUGGAAUCGCUAGUAAUCG